This is a non-coding RNA of Pelobates cultripes (western spadefoot toad), 241 nucleotides long. The record is from the annotation of a GenBank genome assembly. NCBI's taxonomy places the organism in Eukaryota, Metazoa, Chordata, Amphibia, Anura, Pelobatidae.
CGUAAAGUAGGAGAAUGAGCAGGAAGGGCCUGCAAGGAGCAGGAAGGAGCAGAAAGGGACAGCAAGGAGCACAAAGGUAAAGUAGAAAAGGGAGCAGAAAGGGUCUGCAAGGAGCAGAAAGGGAUCAGAAUGAGAAAGGAGCAGAAGGGCGCAAAAUAAGCAGAAAGUAGCAGAAAGGUAAAAGAGCAGAAGGGGCCAAGGAUAGAAAACAGUGUCAGAAGAAAAAAAAAGACUGUCAAAU